CCUACGGGGGGCAGCAGUGAGGAAUAUUGGUCAAUGGGCGAUGGCCUGAACCAGCCAAGUAGCGUGAAGGAUGACUGCCCUAUGGGUUGUAAACUUCUUUUAUAAAGGAAUAAAGUCGGGUAUGCAUACCCGUUUGCAUGUACUUUAUGAAUAAGGAUCGGCUAACUCCGUGCCAGCAGCCGCGGUAAUACGGAGGAUCCGAGCGUUAUCCGGAUUUAUUGGGUUUAAAGGGAGCGUAGAUGGAUGUUUAAGUCAGUUGUGAAAGUUUGCGGCUCAACCGUAAAAUUGCAGUUGAUACUGGAUAUCUUGAGUGCAGUUGAGGCAGGCGGAAUUCGUGGUGUAGCGGUGAAAUGCUUAGAUAUCACGAAGAACUCCGAUUGCGAAGGCAGCCUGCUAAGCUGCAACUGACAUUGAGGCUCGAAAGUGUGGGUAUCAAACAGGAUUAGAUACCCGAGUAGUC
Molecule: ribosomal RNA, 460 nt
Filed under: Salmonella enterica subsp. enterica serovar Goldcoast
Lineage: Bacteria; Pseudomonadati; Pseudomonadota; Gammaproteobacteria; Enterobacterales; Enterobacteriaceae
Description: bacterial SSU rRNA
Rfam family: Bacterial small subunit ribosomal RNA
Source: RNAcentral